UACAGAGGGUGCGAGCGUUAAUCGGAAUUACUGGGCGUAAAGCGUGCGUAGACGGUUAUCUAAGUCGGAUGUGAAAGCCCCGGGCUCAACCUGGGAAUUGCAUUCGAGACUGAAUAGCUAGGGUACGGUAGAGGGAAGUGGAAUUUCCGGUGUAGCGGUGAAAUGCGUAGAUAUCGGAAGGACAAUCAGGGGCGAAGCGACUUCCUGGACCAGUACCGACGUUCAGGCACGAAAGCGUGGGGAGCAAACAGG
Molecule: ribosomal RNA, 252 nt
Filed under: uncultured bacterium
Lineage: Bacteria
Description: partial 16S ribosomal RNA
Rfam family: Bacterial small subunit ribosomal RNA
Source: RNAcentral